AUUGAACGCUGGCGGCAGGCCUAACACAUGCAAGUCGAGCGGAUGAAGGGAGCUUGCUCCUGGAUUCAGCGGCGGACGGGUGAGUAAUGCCUAGGAAUCUGCCUGGUAGUGGGGGAUAACGUCCGGAAACGGGCGCUAAUACCGCAUACGUCCUGAGGGAGGAAGUGGGGGAUCUUCGGACCUCACGCUAUCAGAUGAGCCUAGGUCGGAUUAGCUAGUUGGUGGGGUAAAGGCCUACCAAGGCGACGAUCCGUAACUGGUCUGAGAGGAUGAUCAGUCACACUGGAACUGAGACACGGUCCAGACUCCUACGGGAGGCAGCAGUGGGGAAUAUUGGACAAUGGGCGAAAGCCUGAUCCAGCCAUGCCGCGUGUGUGAAGAAGGUCUUCGGAUUGUAAAGCACUUUAAGUUGGGAGGAAGGGCAGUAAGUUAAUACCUUGCUGUUUUGACGUUACCAACAGAAUAAGCACCGGCUAACUUCGU
Molecule: ribosomal RNA, 483 nt
Filed under: uncultured bacterium
Lineage: Bacteria
Description: partial 16S ribosomal RNA
Rfam family: Bacterial small subunit ribosomal RNA
Source: RNAcentral